RNAcentral lists this ribosomal RNA (428 nucleotides) under uncultured bacterium. RNAcentral's name for it is "partial 16S ribosomal RNA". It matches the Rfam family "Bacterial small subunit ribosomal RNA", at positions 354 to 796 of the family's 1533-position model. The record is from RNAcentral.
GUGGGGAAUAUUGGGCAAUGGGCGAAAGCCUGACCCAGCAACGCCGCGUGAAGGAAGAAGGUUUUCGGAUUGUAAACUUCUGUCCUCAGGGAAGAAGAAAGUGACGGUACCUGAGGAGGAAGCCCCGGCUAACUACGUGCCAGCAGCCGCGGUAAUACGUAGGGGGCGAGCGUUGUCCGGAAUGACUGGGCGUAAAGGGCGCGUAGACGGCUGUCUAAGUCUGGAGUGAAAGUCCUGCUUUCAAGGUGGGAAUUGCUUUGGAGACUGGAUGGCUUGAGUGCGGAAGAGGUAAGUGGAAUUCCCAGUGUAGCGGUGAAAUGCGUAGAGAUUGGGAGGAACACCAGUGGCGAAGGCGACUUACUGGGCCGUAACUGACGUUGAUGCGCGAAAGCGUGGGGAGCGAACAGGAUUAGAUACCCUGGUAGUCC